This 85-nucleotide transfer RNA is filed under the name Thermoplasmatota archaeon. RNAcentral's name for it is "tRNA-Leu". It matches the Rfam family "tRNA". From Rfam's summary of the family: Transfer RNA (tRNA) molecules are approximately 80 nucleotides in length. Their secondary structure includes four short double-helical elements and three loops (D, anti-codon, and T loops). RNAcentral also lists the same sequence under 1 other name. Lineage: Archaea; Methanobacteriati; Thermoplasmatota. The record is from RNAcentral.
GCGAGGGUAGCCAAGCAUGGCCAACGGCGCAAGGUUCAGGGCCUUGUCCCGCAGGGGUCCAAGGGUUCGAAUCCCUUCCCUCGCA